CUUGUUGGUGGGGUGAUGGCCUACCAAGGCGACGACGGGUAGCCGGCCUGAGAGGGCGACCGGCCACACUGGGACUGAGACACGGCCCAGACUCCUACGGGAGGCAGCAGUGGGGAAUAUUGCGCAGUGGGCGAAAGCCUGACGCAGCGACGCCGCGUGAGGGAUGAAGGCCUUCGGGUUGUAAACCUCUUUCAGCGCCGAAGAAGCGAAAGUGACGGUAGGCGCAGAAGAAGCACCGGCUAACUACGUGCCAGCAGCCGCGGUAAUACGUAGGGUGCAAGCGUUGUCCGGAAUUAUUGGGCGUAAAGAGCUCGUAGGCGGUUUGUCGCGUCUGCUGUGAAAACUCGGGGCUUAACUCCGGGCCUGCAGUGGGUACGGGCAGACUAGAGUGCGGUAGGGGAGACCGGAAUUCCUGGUGGAGCGGUGGAAUGCGCAGAUAUCAGGAGGAACACCGGUGGCGAAGGCGGUUCUCUGGGCAUUUCCUGACGCUGAGAAGCGAAAGCGUGGGGAGCAAACAGGCUUAGAUACCCUGGUAGUCCACGCCGUAAACGGUGGGCACUAGGUGUGGGGAACAUUCCACGUUCUCCGUGCCGAAGCUAACGCAUUAAGUGCCCCGCCUGGGGAGUACGGCCGCAAGGCUAAAACUCAAAGGAAUUGACG
RNAcentral lists this ribosomal RNA (660 nucleotides) under uncultured Actinomycetes bacterium. Its description in RNAcentral is "SSU rRNA". It matches the Rfam family "Bacterial small subunit ribosomal RNA", at positions 245 to 915 of the family's 1533-position model. The record is from RNAcentral. Lineage: Bacteria; Bacillati; Actinomycetota; Actinomycetes.